Molecule: long non-coding RNA, 532 nt
Organism: Girardinichthys multiradiatus
Lineage: Eukaryota; Metazoa; Chordata; Actinopteri; Cyprinodontiformes; Goodeidae
Exons: 3
Source: RefSeq, a predicted model, not a curated record
UUGUGUCAUGAUGUAUGUUUGGAUGGGUUGUACUGGAAUUCUGAUUUCCCCUCGGGGAUCAAUAAAGUAUCUUUGAAUUGAAUUGAAUUGAAUUACUGAACCAGCGGGAAAAAAAAAGGAUGAAGUCUCCCAUCUUCUGAGUUCUGUGAUAAUACCGCUCCAACUCCAAUGUCAGAGGCGUCGACCCAGAGGCACAAAACACAAACACAACCCAGAUCCUGACAUCUACAGGUCUAACAGUAAUCCAGCCUAGGUGCAAACUCAGCUUUUGAAAAAAGAGCGUCUCCAGAACCUUCUCCUGCUGGAGCUCUGUCUGCCACAGUGAACGCUCUUUCAGGACCCGCUGCAGCACCUCGGUGGGAGCUGCCGACACCUCCAGACAAACCCGCCACCGCCUCAGGGGGUUCCCAUCUCCAACCUUACACAUCAAUAUUAAAUAUGUCAAUAAGUAUUAAGAAAGGUAUUUGGAACUCUGCUCUCACACUAAAAAGAUCUCUCUUGACUGCAGCCAUCCUCUACUCACGCUUAUAAG